GAUGAACGCUGGCGGCGUGCCUAAUACAUGCAAGUCGAGCGAACGGACGAGAAGCUUGCUUCUCUGAUGUUAGCGGCGGACGGGUGAGUAACACGUGGAUAACCUACCUAUAAGACUGGGAUAACUUCGGGAAACCGGAGCUAAUACCGGAUAAUAUUUUGAACCGCAUGGUACAAAAGUAAAAGACGGUCUUGCUGUCACUUAUAGAUGGAUCCGCGCUGCAUUAGCUAGUUGGUAAGGUAACGGCUUACCAAGGCAACGAUGCAUAGCCGACCUGAGAGGGUGAUCGGCCACACUGGAACUGAGACACGGUCCAGACUCCUACGGGAGGCAGCAGUAGGGAAUCUUCCGCAAUGGGCGAAAGCCUGACGGAGCAACGCCGCGUGAGUGAUGAAGGUCUUCGGAUCGUAAAACUCUGUUAUUAGGGAAGAACAUAUGUGUAAGUAACUGUGCACAUCUUGACGGUACCUAAUCAGAAAGCCACGGCUAACUACGU
RNAcentral lists this ribosomal RNA (496 nucleotides) under uncultured bacterium. RNAcentral describes it as "partial 16S ribosomal RNA". It matches the Rfam family "Bacterial small subunit ribosomal RNA", at positions 28 to 506 of the family's 1533-position model. The record is from RNAcentral.